Molecule: non-coding RNA, 658 nt
Organism: Saimiri boliviensis boliviensis (Bolivian squirrel monkey)
Lineage: Eukaryota; Metazoa; Chordata; Mammalia; Primates; Cebidae
Source: the annotation of a RefSeq genome assembly
CCUUAGUCUCCUUGAACUCUCAGCUGUGUCUCCCUGACUCGAGGAGUUUGAUGGUUUCCCCUGGAUUUCCCCGCUGUGUGCCAUGGUCUGGAAGUUGUCUCAAGGUGGGGCCAAAUCUCAGACUAUUCAUCAAUGGCCAGCCACCCUGGUGCAGCCUGUGGGCAGCCCCCUCUCUCUGGAGUGCACUGUGAAGGGGACAUCAAACCCCUACCUAUACUGGUACCGACAGUCUGCAGACAGGGGCCUCCAGCUGCUCUUCUACUCAGUGAGUACUGGCCAGGUCGACUCUGAGGUGACCCAGAAUCUCUCAGCCUCCAGGCCCCAGGACGGGCAGUUCAUCCUGAGUUCUAAGAAGCUCCUCCCCAGUGAUUCUGGCUUCUAUCUCUGUGCCUGGAGUGUCACACUGAGCUGGCCCUUCCUCGGUAGCAAAGAGGGAACAGAGGGACAGAUGGUGAUCCAAGAAAUACGCAAGACUGAGGACAAAGAAGAGGACAGUGAGAGCUUCCAGGAUUUUGAUCUGAUUUUGCAGAUGUGCCAGGAUGACUAUUUCCAUACAUCUCAUUUCCUGGCCACUUGCACAUGGAAGAUUCAGGGACACAUGCUGGUGGCCAGAGGCACUGUCUCCAAGAUGCUUCACACAGACCUCAGCCACCCAUAG